GGCGACGGGUGAGUAACACGUGGAUAACCUACCUAUAAGACUGGGAUAACUUCGGGAAACCGGAGCUAAUACCGGAUAAUAUUUUGAACCGCAUGGUUCAAAAGUGAAAGACGGUCUUGCUGUCACUUAUAGAUGGAUCCGCGCUGCAUUAGCUAGUUGGUAAGGUAACGGCUUACCAAGGCAACGAUGCAUAGCCGACCUGAGAGGGUGAUCGGCCACACUGGAACUGAGACACGGUCCAG
Molecule: ribosomal RNA, 242 nt
Filed under: uncultured Staphylococcus sp.
Lineage: Bacteria; Bacillati; Bacillota; Bacilli; Caryophanales; Staphylococcaceae
Description: partial 16S ribosomal RNA
Rfam family: Bacterial small subunit ribosomal RNA
Source: RNAcentral